Molecule: transfer RNA, 92 nt
Filed under: Sphingorhabdus arenilitoris
Lineage: Bacteria; Pseudomonadati; Pseudomonadota; Alphaproteobacteria; Sphingomonadales; Sphingorhabdaceae
Also listed under: 1 other name
Description: tRNA-Ser
Rfam family: tRNA
About the family: Transfer RNA (tRNA) molecules are approximately 80 nucleotides in length. Their secondary structure includes four short double-helical elements and three loops (D, anti-codon, and T loops). Further hydrogen bonds mediate the characteristic L-shaped molecular structure. tRNAs have two regions of fundamental functional importance: the anti-codon, which is responsible for specific mRNA codon recognition, and the 3' end, to which the tRNAs corresponding amino acid is attached (by aminoacyl-tRNA synthetases). tRNAs cope with the degeneracy of the genetic code in two manners: having more than one tRNA (with a specific anti-codon) for a particular amino acid; and 'wobble' base-pairing, i.e. permitting non-standard base-pairing at the 3rd anti-codon position.
Source: RNAcentral
GGACACGUGGGUGAGCGGCUGAAACCACCUCCCUGCUAAGGAGGCAAGCUCCUAUCGGGGCUUCGAGGGUUCGAAUCCCUCCGUGUCCGCCA